This is a long non-coding RNA of Ostrea edulis (European flat oyster), 792 nucleotides long. RefSeq lists it as uncharacterized. The transcript has 3 exons. Lineage: Eukaryota; Metazoa; Mollusca; Bivalvia; Ostreida; Ostreidae. The record is from RefSeq and is a predicted model, not a curated record.
UGAGAUUAACCGGACUCUAGCAUCCAAUCGUCUACGUAUUCGUAGAAAAAGUAAAUGUUGUGGAAUUUAACGCUUUAUUGCAUCACAUCCGACUAAAAAAAAUGACCAGGGAAACAGAAGGCUGACAGACAUAUUCAUAGAAAAUAUGAAAAAGCCCUGCCUGUUGCCGUGUUGGAACUUGUAUUGACCUGUAUGAGCAUCAUACAGUGCAAAUCACCUAUGGAGUUGACCAAGUUGCUGACUUUGAGGAGAACUUGAAGAGAAGAAGAUGCAUUCCAUGACUCUUAUGUGAUAUAGAAGACAAAGAAGAGCUCUUGAGAAUGGAAAAAGAAAACUGCGAGUUUUACAGUCAAUGAACACACCUCACGACACAAGUCCAUCCUGAUUCAGUAAACUAUUCUUCUAAGGAAACACCAUGACUUAGUUAAGAUCAAGUUUUGGUGUCAGAAGACUAAUGUAACUAAAACAUUGCAAAAUUAACCUGCAAGUGUCUUAUGUGAGCCUACUGAAUAAGGAUUCAUUACUGAACAGUUGAAGGAAAAUCACUAUUAUAAUAAUUUUUAAAAAAAGAUGAUUGUGUUGUUUGGAUAACAUUGUGAUCCAUGUUUGUUGAAUAAACAACUUUGCAAAAAUGAGUUGUUCUGUGUUAAUAUUAUAAAUUUACUAAUUACUGGUAUGUCAACAUAGAUUACAGUAACACUGAACAAACUUCAAUAAAUUUUAAAGUUUCAUGCAGUUUCUGCAGUAGAAAAUGACACCUAUUGAUUUUCUGGUCCAAAGGUCACCAGGUGC